GCCCUACAUAAGGUCAAAAUGGCGGAGAAUAACAUGUGCAUUUGUUAUGGUUUGGCUAUUUCGCCCUGAGAGCGUUAUAUGAAACGGUUGAAGGAAAAUGUACUCUAGAGUACCACCGCCAACCAAAGAUGAUUUAAGAUGUGAUGUUUUCAACAAUGCUAGUGAAGAUAAUGGGCCGAAAGCGAACAACGGUGACGAUAAAGUCUCUGCGCCUGAAGUAAACAAGAAAAAUCAUGACACAUCUGAUUCAACUGAAAGACCAAAAAAUAUUUCACAGCAAGCAUGGGAGAAAUUUCAAGCUCUGCGCAAAAGAAGAGAAGAUAUGUCAAGAAAAUCAACGGAAAAACGUAUCAGGGAUUUGCAAAAGAACGUCUUACAAAAAGUGUCAGCAGAGAUCCAACAUCCCGAAGACAUAAACAUAAUGAGAAAGCACAAUGUUAGGAUACCAGGCAGACCAAACCAAGAAACUGGGAACACUGAGAAGAAAAAAAGAAAGCAUUCAAGUACAGAAGAAUAUCAAAUUCUAGGGAGAACUGCAAGUUGCAGUGAACAAGAAGAGUGGCAAAAUAUCAAGCAAUAUCUGGGAGCCAGUGAUCACUUGAAGGGAACAGAUCUAGGCAAACACGCGCCAAAGACAAAACUGGAAGACAUUGAUUUGUGCGUGAAACAAGGAGACUUUGAAACUGCAGAGAAACUAAGUGAUAAAUUAGCCAACAGGGAGUUUGCCAAUGUAUGUGAAUAGGCCGAGAUAAAACAAUUUGGAGACACCCCAGAGACACUAUUGUGUUAAAUUUCACAACUGAAGAUUUACAUGGAAAGGCAACACAUACUUAUGGUGCAGCUCUGAGGUAGAGUUAUGGGUGACAGCUGUCAGGACCUGAGUGUGGAUAUCUAGGGUGUGGUAAAUACUGG
Molecule: unclassified non-coding RNA, 912 nt
Filed under: Lingula anatina
Lineage: Eukaryota; Metazoa; Brachiopoda; Lingulata; Lingulida; Lingulidae
Description: protein FAM204A, transcript variant X1
Source: RNAcentral